RNAcentral lists this ribosomal RNA (486 nucleotides) under uncultured bacterium. RNAcentral describes it as "partial 16S ribosomal RNA". It matches the Rfam family "Bacterial small subunit ribosomal RNA", at positions 30 to 507 of the family's 1533-position model. The record is from RNAcentral.
AUUGAACGCUGGCGGCAUGCCUUACACAUGCAAGUCGAACGGCAGCACGGGUGCUUGCACCUGGUGGCGAGUGGCGAACGGGUGAGUAAUACAUCGGAACAUGUCCUGUAGUGGGGGAUAGCCCGGCGAAAGCCGGAUUAAUACCGCAUACGAUCUACGGAUGAAAGCGGGGGCCCUUCGGGCCUCGCGCUAUAGGGUUGGCCGAUAGCUGAUUAGCUAGUUGGUGGGGUAAAGGCCUACCAAGGCGACGAUCAGUAGCUGGUCUGACAGGACGACCAGCCACACUGGGACUGAGACACGGCCCAGACUCCUACGGGAGGCAGCAGUGGGGAAUUUUGGACAAUGGGCGAAAGCCUGAUCCAGCAAUGCCGCGUGUGUGAAGAAGGCCUUCGGGUUGUAAAGCACUUUUGUCCGGAAAGAAAUCCUUGGCUCUAAUACAGUCGGGGGAUGACGGUACCGGAAGAAUAAGCACCGGCUAACUACGUG